GGUACAUGGUUGCCGCGCUAGCUGGAUCGUCGUUGCCGCUGGCUGCGACCAAACGUCCACUCCCUCUCAAACCACCUCUUCUACUCUACCUACCAAGACCAACUUACCUAUUACCCCAGCCACCCCUAAUUCAACUAUAACAGACCAACUGACCACUGCUUCGCACACACCGCACGGUAUCCUAGAGACAGGUAACGCACUGACCGCACACCGGUCGCGUUACAAGUCGGCCAACCGGUCAAAAUUUGUAAAGGGAUAUAAAACCAACACAAAUCACGUAGAGAUUUGGAAUGGAACAGAAGUUGAGAACUUUUAAGUGAGAUUUUGUUAAACCCUCCCGCUUUUGAUUAACGGGCGAACGAGUUGAGAUAAAAAGAGAAACAAUAGAAAAAAGACAUUACGAUAAGUACCAAGGGACCCCAAGUUUUACUUACAAAAAGUGGCGUUAAAUACACAACCCUCACACCGUUAAGGAGUUCGCUUUUAUGGUUAAAGGCGGAGUCUAGGUUUAAACUGUACACACAAACUUAUUUUAACGGUACGCAAAUACUUCUUAAACGGUAUUUUUUGUAGCGUUUACUGUACGUGGUAUCUCACUUGCAAGCGAAUGAUAACCCCGGGAAGAAAAUAGGAAUACAACUGUAUUUUGAAUAAUUAAGUUUGGAAUACAAAUAUUGUGUGUAAAAAUCGUUGUGAUAUUUAAGUAAUAAAAUUUAAAAUUAAGUUUGUGUUGUAUACUAGGUUUACUUCAUUAGGUUUAUUUUGUACUACCUUGAUAACGGGUACUUUAAGAGUGUUCACAAGGUGCUCCGGUAGAGCCUCAACGAAUACUCGAACGACCAAGAACUAGAAGGCUACGUUAAACUCUUUAUAUCCACAAAGUAACAUCAGUAAUCACUCAGUAUCAAAAGACAAACCGGAAAUGCUUCCCCAGUACCUAUACCAAACUCCAAAACCUAACCCCCACCCCCACCCCCACCCUAUCUGUACAGUUUAUUCAGUUGAACGUACUUACAUUUCCUCAACUCGACUGUCACGUUUGUAUCUAACUGUACUACUACAAAAUACAAAAAAAAGUACCAAACCUAUCACUGUGAUUACGAAUCUGGGAAGAUUUAUAAUGUGGAUUACCAAAACUCCUAUUUAUAAACCGGAAUAUACACGGACUCCCUUCUUACGUCCGUCCAUUCAAACUCAGCUGGUUUCUAUUUCGGGAAUUUUCCGAUAGACUGAUCUACCUUUCAUACGAAGAACACCUCACUUCCUUAAAGUUUGGUUUAGUCAAUAAGUCGACGAGAACAGAAACGAUACCCUUGAAGAAUUAAAAGCUAAAGCAAUACACUCCUUAAUAGGUUCUAAUAGACUAAAAAAACCACGUCUCUAGUUCUCUUAUUCUCCUCUUGAGUGACCGAACGGACCCUUUUAACUGAUGUGGAUUUCCACUUCCUCCAAUUGUGUCUCAGGGACACUAAACCAAAGUGGGUAAUUUCUACUGGGGAUUUGUAUAUACUUCUGUAACUUCUAUUACGACCAUGCGCUUCUGAAAGCGAACUUCUGUUACUUCGCGCUUGUGUAUCAGAAAACCAUCAAAGUAAAAGAAGAAAGAACACAUAAUUCUUGGUAGCAUAACGAUUCACCCCAGCUCCAAUUACUUCAGUCUUUGACUGCAAUAUGAGUUGGAUUUUAGGAUACAGGAG
RNAcentral lists this ribosomal RNA (1697 nucleotides) under Triticum aestivum (bread wheat). Its description in RNAcentral is "partial small subunit ribosomal RNA". The record is from RNAcentral. Lineage: Eukaryota; Viridiplantae; Streptophyta; Magnoliopsida; Poales; Poaceae.